CGACGUGGGUAACCUGCCUCAUACAGGGGGAUAACAGUUGGAAACGGCUGCUAAUACCGCAUAAUGCAUAUCUUUCGCAUGUUAGAUAUGCCAAAGGAGCAAUCCGCCUUUAGAUGAGCUCGCGUCUGAUUAGCUAGUUGACGGGGUAACGGCCCACCAAGGCGACGAUCAGUAGCCGGACUGAGAGGUUGAACGGCCACAUUGGGACUGAGACACGGCCCAG
Molecule: ribosomal RNA, 223 nt
Filed under: uncultured bacterium
Lineage: Bacteria
Description: partial 16S ribosomal RNA
Rfam family: Bacterial small subunit ribosomal RNA
Source: RNAcentral